GAAAUGCGAUAAGUAAUGUGAAUUGCAGAAUUCAGUGAAUCAUCGAAUCUUUGAACGCACCUUGCGCUCCUUGGUAUUCAUUGGAGCAUGCCUGUUUGAGUAUCAUGAAAUCUUCAAAGUAAAUCUUUUGUUAACUCAAUUGGUUUCUACUUUGGUAUUGGAGGUCUUUGCAGCUUCACACCUGCUCCUCUUUGUUCAUUAGCUGGAUCUCAGUGUUAUGCUUGGUUCCACUCGGCGUGAUAAGUUAUCUAUCGCUGAGGACACUGUAAAAGGUGGCCAAGGUAAAUGCAGAUGAACCGCUUCUAAUAGUCCAUUGACUUGGACAAUACUUUUAUGAUCUGAUCUCAAAUCAGGUAUUACUACCCGCUGAACUUGAGC
RNAcentral lists this unclassified non-coding RNA (378 nucleotides) under plant metagenome. RNAcentral's name for it is "partial contains 5.8S ribosomal RNA, internal transcribed spacer 2, and large subunit ribosomal RNA". The stretch from base 1 to 105 matches the Rfam family "5.8S ribosomal RNA", at positions 50 to 154 of the family's 154-position model. The record is from RNAcentral.